GACGAACGCUGGCGGCAUGCUUAACACAUGCAAGUCGAACGGAAAGGCCCUGCUUUUGUGGGGUUCUCGAGUGGCGAACGGGUGAGUAACACGUGAGUAACCUUCCCUUGACUUUGGGUUAACUUCCGGAAACUGGGGCUAAUACCGGAUAGGAGCUCCUGCUGCAUGGUGGGGGUUGGAAAGUUUCGGCGGUUGGGGAUGGACUCGCGGCUUAUCAGCUUGUUGGUGGAGUAGUGGCUUACCAAGGCUUUGACGGGUAGCCGGCCUGAGGGGGUGACCGGCGACAUUGGGACUGAGAUACGGACCAGACGCGUACGGGAGGCAGCAGGGGGGAAUAUUGCACAAUGGGCGGAAGCCUGAGGAAGAAACGCCGCGUGCGGGAUGAAGGCCUGCGGGUUGUAAACCGCUUGCGCCUGUGACGAAGCGGGAGUGACGGUAAUGGGUAAAGAAGCACCGGCUAACUACGUG
Molecule: ribosomal RNA, 468 nt
Filed under: uncultured bacterium
Lineage: Bacteria
Description: partial 16S ribosomal RNA
Rfam family: Bacterial small subunit ribosomal RNA
Source: RNAcentral